UACUUAGUGGCAGACGGGUGAGUAACAUGUGGGUAUCUACCCUUUGGCCUGGAAUAACACGAGGAAACUUGUGCUAAUACCGGAUAAGUCUUUACGGAGAAAGCUUUAUGCACCAUUGGAUGAGCCCGCACUUGAUUAGUUUGUUGGUAGGGUAAUGGCCUACCAAGACCAUGAUCAAUAGCUGAUUUGAGAGGAUGAUCAGCCACAUUGGGACUGAGACACGGCCCAAACUCCUACGGGAGGCAGCAGUGGGGAAUCUUGCACAAUGGAGGAAACUCUGAUGCAGCGAUGCCGCGUGAGUGAAGAAGGCCUUUGGGUUGUAAAGCUCUUUCGUCGGGGAAGAAAAUGACUGUACCCGAAUAAGAAGGUCCGGCUAACUUCGUGCCAGCAGCCGCGGUAAUACGAAGGGACCUAGCGUAGUUCGGAAUUACUGGGCUUAAAGAGUUCGUAGGUGGUUGAAAAAGUUGGUGGUGAAAUCCCAGAGCUUAACUCUGGAACUGCCAUCAAAACUUUUCAGCUAGAGUAUGAUA
This 530-nucleotide ribosomal RNA is filed under the name uncultured Pelagibacterales bacterium. Its description in RNAcentral is "bacterial SSU rRNA". It matches the Rfam family "Bacterial small subunit ribosomal RNA", at positions 89 to 653 of the family's 1533-position model. Lineage: Bacteria; Pseudomonadati; Pseudomonadota; Alphaproteobacteria; Candidatus Pelagibacterales. The record is from RNAcentral.